UUUCCGUAGGUGAACCUGCGGAAGGAUCAUUCAUAAUAAGUGUUUUACUGCACUUUUUAAAAAUAGUACUCACCUUGUGUGCAAUGUUGUGUUUCUUUUCGGAGAAACACCUACACCAACCUAUAACCUUGAACCACUUUGUCUGAAAAACUAUUAUGAAUACUUAAUUCAAAAUACAACUUUCAACAACGGAUCUCUUGGCUCUCGCAUGAUGAAGAACGCAGC
Molecule: unclassified non-coding RNA, 225 nt
Filed under: plant metagenome
Description: partial contains small subunit ribosomal RNA, internal transcribed spacer 1, and 5.8S ribosomal RNA
Rfam family: 5.8S ribosomal RNA (bases 178-225)
Source: RNAcentral